UGGGGAAUAUUGGACAAUGGGGGAAACCCUGAUCCAGCGACGCCGCGUGUGUGAAGAAGGCCUGCGGGUUGUAAAGCACUUUCGGUGGGAACGAAAUAUGCCGGGCUAAUACCCCGGUAGGCUGACGUUACUCAAUGAAGAAGCACCGGCUAACUCUGUGCCAGCAGCCGCGGUAAUACAGAGGGUGCGAGCGUUAAUCGGAAUUACUGGGCGUAAAGCGCACGUAGGUGGCGACGUAAGUCGGGUGUGAAAGCCCCGGGCUCAACCUGGGAACCGCAUUCGAGACUGUGUUGCUGGAGUACGGAAGAGGAGGGCGGAAUUCCCGGUGUAG
This 331-nucleotide ribosomal RNA is filed under the name uncultured bacterium. RNAcentral's name for it is "bacterial SSU rRNA". It matches the Rfam family "Bacterial small subunit ribosomal RNA", at positions 355 to 678 of the family's 1533-position model. The record is from RNAcentral.